GUGCUCGCUACGGCGGCACCUAUACUAAAAUUGGGAUGAUAAAGAGAUUAGCCUGGCCCCUGUUCAAGGAUGACAGGCAAAGUCAUACAGCAGUGCAUAUUUUU
Peromyscus maniculatus bairdii (prairie deer mouse) is the source of this 104-nucleotide small nuclear RNA. Lineage: Eukaryota; Metazoa; Chordata; Mammalia; Rodentia; Cricetidae. The record is from Ensembl.